AAAGAACUUUGAAAAGAGAGUUAAACCGUACGUGAAAUUGUUGAAAGGGAAACGAUUGAAGUCAGUCAUACCAACGGGAAAUCAACCUUUUGAGUUUGUUCUUGUGGGUUUCGAGGAGUUUAAAAGCCUUCUGAUUUGCUAGGAUUGGGCUCUUUUGGUGUACUUUCCCGUACGGUUAGUCAACAUCGGUUUUGAAUGUCAUAA
Molecule: ribosomal RNA, 204 nt
Filed under: Funneliformis geosporum
Lineage: Eukaryota; Fungi; Glomeromycota; Glomeromycetes; Glomerales; Glomeraceae
Description: partial large subunit ribosomal RNA
Source: RNAcentral